RNAcentral lists this ribosomal RNA (253 nucleotides) under uncultured bacterium. RNAcentral describes it as "partial 16S ribosomal RNA". It matches the Rfam family "Bacterial small subunit ribosomal RNA", at positions 524 to 776 of the family's 1533-position model. The record is from RNAcentral.
UACGGAGGGUGCAAACGUUGCUCGGAAUCAUUGGGCGUAAAGCGCACGUAGGCGGCCCGGUAAGUCGGAUGUGAAAGCCCUCGGCUCAACUGAGGAAGUGCAUUCGAAACUGCUGGACUUGAGUACGGGAGAGGGAUGCGGAAUUCCCGGUGUAGAAGUGAAAUUCGUAGAUAUCGGGAGGAUCACCAGUGGCGAAGGCGGCAUCCUGGACCGAUACUGACGCUGAGGUGCGAAAGCGUGGGGAUCAAACACG